Molecule: long non-coding RNA, 1019 nt
Filed under: Pan troglodytes (chimpanzee)
Lineage: Eukaryota; Metazoa; Chordata; Mammalia; Primates; Hominidae
Description: long non-coding RNA NONPTRT010311
Source: RNAcentral
GCCUGCAGGGGCACUCUCCCGGGACAGGCCACACACCAGCCUCUGCGAGCCAGGAAGGAGCCUCCCCAGAAACGGAACCAGCGGGAACCUUGACCUGAGACUUGCAGCCUCCAGAACUGUGAGAAAAUAGAUUUCUGUUGUUUCAAGCCCCCGAGCCUGUGGUAUUCUGUCCCAGCAGCCUGAGCAGGCUGAAAUGGGAGGAAACUGCAGCCGAGUCAGCUCCUCCGACUCUAGGCCGACUGUUCUUCACUGUAUGACAUGUGACUCACCAGAUAAAGCCACACACGUCAUUCUUUUAAAAUUCUCUACUCUGUGAGUGCAAUGAAAUUAGUAUUUUUCCACAAGUCCUUUCCUUUCUCUGAUGUGUAAAGUAAGAGGCAGAGAGAUCCUGCUCUAGUCUCUGGGCCCUCCCUCUGCUGGCAAUGUUCUUUUUCUGUUUUAACCAUCUGAGCAGCACACGACCCCCCUGUCUUGGGGCAGUGACGUGUCUGUGGUCAGUGCAGGACCUGGUGCUGGCUCUCUCGUGGCCAGGACCGACAGUGGUCAUGCCUGGACCCCGCUGUGUGUCCUGCCCUGUUCAGUUUGCCAGAACAAGCUUUUGGUUCCAUUUUCAACACCUCUCUAGUCUGAUCAGCCCUGACCUCCACUGCAGGCUGCGUCCUUCCCUGCCUGUACUAGUGCAGAGCUCCUGGUGGGUUCGCACCUUCUCCCCCAGCUCCUCCCUCUCCAGGUAGCAGCCAGGAUGGCACUUUCAAACCAUGUCAGAUCACGUUGCUGCUGUGCUCAGGACCCUCCCAUGACUUCCUUGUCCCUCAGAAUAAAAUGCAGAUUCCUCCCCCACACCCACAGGUGUCCCCCUGUCCCCACCCCACACCUCACCUGCACUUGCCAACUCCAGCCAUGCGGCUCUUACUGACCUUCCUCAAUGUGCUGGGAACCUCCUGCCUCAGGGGCUUUGCUGUUCCACUGCCUGGGCUUUACUCAGAUGGAACUUUCUUUGUAAAAAUUAUUGAUUUCUA